UCUGCGUCUUCCGUGGGUCUGCCUCCCGCUCCCGUGCUUCCGCCCCCUCCACGCUUCGUCGCUCCCCCGCUCGAGCAGAGAGCAGUUGCCAGCUCGCGCCGCUGCCCUCCACCACCACGUCCCCGCUCCCCCACCCUGACGCCCCGACCGACGCGUCGCCUCCGACGGCGCCGACCGCCCGCUGCAUUGCCUCCCCACUCGUGCCCAGCCGCUGGCUCCACUCAAGGACGCGAUGCCCCCUGCCCGGGUCCGUGCGUCUGCCGCUGCCUCGCCACCUGUGCCCGUGAAGACCGAGGAGCCCGAGCCGUCUUUGGUUCCUUCCUCGGCAACAGCAACAAGGGGCCGCGGUCUCCGCUUUCCGGCCUCGCGGGACGCAUCCUUGCCGCUCGCCCUGCGCCUCCUCCUCCACCCUGACCAGCAAGCAGAGCAGGCUGCCGCUCCUCCUCCCUGACCAGCAAGCAGAGUAGGCUGCCGCUCGCCCUGCGCCUCCUCAGGUUUACAACAUUUUAAGAGCUUCCCCUUAGGACAACCUAUAAAUCAAUUCGGAGGACAAACAGCCAACCAUUUCCUUGGUUUGGAACACCCAUUGUCUGCAAGCAGGGGCCAUCUGUUCCAAAAAAAACUGUGAGCACAGAUCAUUAGUUAGAUUUUAGUUUCAAUGCAACAUAAAAAUCUGUUGGUUUUCCUACUUCCUAUGGAUUAGAAUAAUCUAUACUUGUACUCAAUUGGCAGCUAAACUGUUGUGAUUUAAAUUUGAAUUCUAGCUAUGGUGGCUUCUUGUCUGGUUCUGCUCAAGGUUGUUCCUGGUACAUCAACAGCUGCUACUCCUCACGUGUCCGUUUUUGUUCAUCAAUUCAUUCUGGCUUCCAUAUGUGAUAUGUCUCAUGCGUGCUAUGCAUUCGAUGAAAUUUGUGUGGAGAACCUUGACAUCAUUUGAUUCUUUUUUUUUUUUGAAAGGAAUGACAUCAUUUGAUUCUGUAUCUGUUGUGUUCAAGCAACAAAAUCAAGUUCUGACAAAUUUGAAUAAAAAUAAUCAAGGCAGUGUUUUCGAAUGCCUCAGUAAAUGGGAAUCUGCCAAUGCUAUGUAGAGUGCUUUUUGGCAGUGCUUGUUGCUGAGAAGAAGCGCUUGUCUGCAUCAAGUGUAUGUCAGAAUUUCAGACUACUGCAACAGCUAAUGGAGGUUCACUUUUGAGACAAGCAAUGUUGCUACCAUUUGACAACAACAUGGCACCCCUAGCAACACACGGGCAUUCAACUAGUUGUAAUAUAAUCUCCGAACUCAACCAUGUCAUUUGUAAUUACCAUCAACUUAAUCUUGACCGGCAUCUGACUUGACAGUUGAUAUAUAGUCGAAGGAGCACCUGACUGUAUUUGUGUAUUAUUGGUCGCCGGCGAGUUGCUUGCUCAAGUUGAACAUUGUUUGCUACUUUGCCCUCUCAUGAUUGUUGAUUGGUAGCAUCAUUGCUUCAUCGUCGCCGCCGAUUAUUGGUGCAACUGAAGUUGAAAAAUGCACCGUGUAUAAGCACCGCCGAUCAUUGGCCUGCACAAUUGGAUGGUUAUUGGUUGGACCGGCAGCACCGGACAAGCCUGCACGUUUGCCAUGGCCAGCAGCGGGGAUCCUCGUGACGGGCAGGUAUGGCGCGGCCGCCAGACCUUGCUAUAGUGGUCGGAGCUAGCAAAGCCUAUAUAGAGAUGGAUUUUCAUGCAAGUAAGAGCACGAGACCGGCUACAAGCUGAUGGUGCUGUGAGGAUGAGCAGAGUUAUCCUGGAGGUACAUGCCGCCAUUAUGGUGAACGCGAAGCAGGCCAUCGACGGUUCAGCUUUUGACCUCUCUGCUGCAUGUAGCUGUCACCUGCUGGGCUGCUAGGGUUCACUGCCAUCGGCCAGAAGAGGAAAGGACGUGAUCACACGAGAAGGGGGAAGUGGAAUUGGGAUGGAUUGGUACCGGUUGGAGGUCGCGACUGGACCUAGAAGAGGUUAAGUGAGCCAUUUGAACACAAGAGGCAAUAUGAGAUUGGGAAGUCUAUUUUGUGAUAAUAGAUCAUCUCCAAGAGACACCCUAAAUCAUCUCUCUCCCUUCUCUGAUCUGAGAAUAAACAUCUAUACCCUAUCCCAAAUACUUGCUAUUUUAGAACCGGAUCUUAGACCUUCAACCUUUAAAUUCGUGUGUCAUAUUUUCCUAAUAUAUCAAGGUUCAAAUAAUAGGAUAUGCGGUACAAGGGAAGUACCAUGGGGACACAAGAAUACAUGGAGAAGUAAUAUUUAGGAUGAUCCUCUACUUAAAGGAUAAACAGAGUUAGAGAUUACUCUUCCAAAUUAUAGGUUGAUGAUUUUUUUAGAUCAAGUUUCACCACUCGUCUUAUUCAAAAAAUUUGUGCACACAUAGUCAAAUUUAAAUCAUUUUUAAAGAACUUGUAUUAAUAAAGCAAGUCACAACAAAAUAAAUGAUAUUUUGCACAAAUUUUUAAAUAAGACGAGUGUUCAAACUUGGAGUCAGAAAAGUCAAGCGAUCUAUAAUUUGAAACGGAGAGAGUAGAAUUUAAGAAUUAUUUUAGUAAUGCUCUUAUUUUCUAUUUUUAAUACAUAUACAUACUAUGUAUUUGAAUAGCCUUGAAUCAAUACCAGAUCCGCCCUU
Molecule: long non-coding RNA, 2635 nt
Organism: Panicum virgatum (switchgrass)
Lineage: Eukaryota; Viridiplantae; Streptophyta; Magnoliopsida; Poales; Poaceae
Exons: 4
Source: RefSeq, a predicted model, not a curated record